This 24-nucleotide microRNA is filed under the name Sarcophilus harrisii (Tasmanian devil). Its description in RNAcentral is "Sha-Mir-12475-P24_5p (mature (co-guide))". The record is from RNAcentral. Lineage: Eukaryota; Metazoa; Chordata; Mammalia; Dasyuromorphia; Dasyuridae.
UAGCCAUUCUGGAAUCAUAUUGUU